UGUGAAGCUCAAUGUUUCCUGGAUUUUGAAUAUUCAUCUUUCUAGUGGAUUUUAACCUUUGUAUUCUUGAUAAAAAAAAAAAGCAGAUGCAAUCAAAGUGAAAAGACAAACCGCAUGAAGAUGUCAAAGCCAGUGUUUGCGAUGUCAUAGUGCUGACUUAUGAUGUCAUGGCGUGUAUGUGUAAUGUACAUGCGUCUGUAUUUGUGUGCCCGUGUGUGUAUUUUUAUUUAUUUUCAGGAAUGCUGAAUCUCACAUUUGAUCUGACUUGGGAUAUUACAAGUAAGACAAUUGUGUUUCUCAGAGAAUCCACAAACUAUUUCAAACCCAAAGCUAUGAUAUUAUUAUUCACAUUGGCUUUUUGGAUUCAAAAGCCUAGUAUCAGAAAGGACAUCAAUCAAAGCUGUCCUUGUAAAGUGACAUUCACCAAAGCAAAUGUAACAAAAUCUACUUUUCUCACAUUUCAAGGUGUAGAGCAAAAGCUAUACAAUUCCAUUGUUGCCAUUUUUUUGUGAAGAUUUGUGCAUUUCGUUAUAAGAUUACAUUUAUGUGACCGGAAUCUCACUCUUUUCAAGAACUUUACUAUUUAUUGUAAAGAAUGAGGAUUUUGCUAGAAUAGUUUGGAGAAUGCAUUGUGACUUGCCUUGUUGUCUAACAUGAUUAUGGAUCACCAAUUAUAGGACUAGAAUGGCCCAAUGAUUUUUACAGUAAGAACUUCAGAUUCCAUAAUUGGAAUCUUGUUAAACUAAAACGAAGAGAGGCAAAAUAUAUUUAUGUCACACGAAGAUUCAGUUAUUUUAAAUGUAUGUUUUUAUUGUACUUUUGGAGGUAUACUGAUGUUGUGAUUAUGUUUUUGUUGAGUACGCCCUCAUUAAUCUGUGUGCCUGUAAAUGUACUGUUGAUUAAUGUGUGUGUGUAUGCGUGUGUGCCUGCAUGCGUGUGUGUGGUCUGAGGAAAUGAUUCCAGAAGGUGUGUGUGUGGGUGGGUGGAGGUAAGAGGGAAGUUGUGGUAUAAAAUGGUUGUUUUGGUGUGUGGCUCGUGGGGUGACAUUUAGUGGCGUGAGGUUUUCUAGAUAGAAGGAAGUGUAAGUAAACAUGAGAUAGCUUUAUUGGCCCCUAAUUGUAUUGCGGGAAGAUGAGGCAGGGGUGUACUGUAUUACCUCAGAAAAAUGUAUAGGGAUUAAUCUAAUAGAUAAACCCCAUGUCUGUUUCCAAGAAUAUAAAGUGAAGAUCUCACAAGCGUGCAACCCUUAUUUUGGUUAUUGGUGAAUUCUCGCAUUUGUAGAAUCAUACUGUUCAAUUGAUAAUAACAAUUAAAAAAAUCCCAACA
RNAcentral lists this long non-coding RNA (1326 nucleotides) under Salmo salar (Atlantic salmon). Its description in RNAcentral is "lncRNA (ENSSSAG00000095377.1)". Lineage: Eukaryota; Metazoa; Chordata; Actinopteri; Salmoniformes; Salmonidae. The record is from RNAcentral.